Molecule: ribosomal RNA, 469 nt
Filed under: uncultured bacterium
Lineage: Bacteria
Description: bacterial SSU rRNA
Rfam family: Bacterial small subunit ribosomal RNA
Source: RNAcentral
CUCAGGACGAACGCUGGCGGCGUGCCUAACACAUGCAAGUCGAACGGGAAUUGAGAGCUUGCUUUUGAUUCUAGUGGCGAACGGGUGAGUAAAGCGUGAGUAACCUGCCUGACGGAGGGGGACAACAGCUGGAAACGGCUGCUAAUACCGCAUAAGCGCACAGUACUGCAUGGUACAGUGUGAAAAGUUCUGGCGGCAUACGAUGGACCCGCGUCUGAUUAGCUAGUUGGUGAGGUAACGGCCCCACCAAGGCGACGAUCAGUAGCCGGACUGAGAGGUUGAACGGCCACAUUGGGACUGAGAUACGGCCCAGACUCCUACGGGAGGCAGCAGUCGGGAAUAUUGCGCAAUGGAGGAAACUCUGACGCAGUGACGCCGCGUAUAGGAAGAAGGUUUUCGGAUUGUAAACUAUUGUCGUUAGGGAAGAUACAAGACAGUACCUAAGGAGGAAGCCCCGGCUAACUAUGUG